CCACAACAAAGAUGACUGAUGAACUCAAUGGCAACCAGCAGCCACGACAAAGAUGACUGACGAACUCAAUGGCAACCAGUAGACACCCAUUUGUAGCCUUAUCGGGGACAACAACAACUAGGUGGAACGCUCCUUCUACUAUCAAGUCAAUAACCUCUCUGAAUAUUAUUGGCAAGUUGAAUCUCUAUGUUUACUGGGUAUUGUGAUGAUUUUUCACCAGAAAACAACUACCACAAACAACCUUCAUCACUGGAGAAAUCUAGAACGAAGAGGCCCUAACCUUUUUCAUAGAUGAUCUCUAGUAGUGAGAUUCCCUAACUGAUUUGCCGUAUUGGGAACUCC
RNAcentral lists this long non-coding RNA (342 nucleotides) under Vitis vinifera (wine grape). Its description in RNAcentral is "long non-coding RNA (VVIN_LNC000220)". Lineage: Eukaryota; Viridiplantae; Streptophyta; Magnoliopsida; Vitales; Vitaceae. The record is from RNAcentral.